Molecule: ribosomal RNA, 513 nt
Filed under: uncultured bacterium
Lineage: Bacteria
Description: bacterial SSU rRNA
Rfam family: Bacterial small subunit ribosomal RNA
Source: RNAcentral
GAUCCUGGCUCAGGAUGAACGCUAGCUACAGGCUUAACACAUGCAAGUCGAGGGGCAGCAGAUCGAAAGCUUGCUUCGAUGCUGGCGACCGGCGCACGGGUGAGUAACGCGUAUCCAACCUUCCCUAUAGUAGAGAAUAGCCCGGCGAAAGUCGGAUUAAUGCUCUAUGUUGUAUUUAGAGGACAUCUGAAGAAUACCAAAGGUUUACCGCUAUAGGAUGGGGAUGCGUCUGAUUAGGUUGUUGGCGGGUAACGGCCCACCAAGCCUACGAUCAGUAGGGGUUCUGAGAGGAAGGUCCCCCACAUUGGAACUGAGACACGGUCCAAACUCCUACGGGAGGCAGCAGUGAGGAAUAUUGGUCAAUGGACGCAAGUCUGAACCAGCCAAGUAGCGUGCCAGGAUGACGGCCCUAUGGGUUGUAAACUGCUUUUAUACAGGGAUAAAGUGAGGGACGUGUCCCUUUUUGUAGGUACUGUAUGAAUAAGGACCGGCUAAUUCCGUGCCAGCAGCAGC